RNAcentral lists this ribosomal RNA (429 nucleotides) under Bacteroidota bacterium. Its description in RNAcentral is "Bacteroidetes bacterium partial 16S ribosomal RNA". It matches the Rfam family "Bacterial small subunit ribosomal RNA", at positions 355 to 776 of the family's 1533-position model. Lineage: Bacteria; Pseudomonadati; Bacteroidota. The record is from RNAcentral.
UAGGGAAUCUUCGGCAAUGGGGGGAACCCUGACCGAGCAACGCCGCGUGAGUGAAGAAGGUUUUCGGAUCGUAAAGCUCUGUUGUUAAGGAAGAACGAGUGUGAGAAUGGAAAGUUCAUACUGUGACGGUACUUAACCAGAAAGGGACGGCUAACUACGUGCCAGCAGCCGCGGUAAUACGUAGGUCCCGAGCGUUGUCCGGAUUUAUUGGGCGUAAAGCGAGCGCAGGCGGUUAGAUAAGUCUGAAGUUAAAGGCAGUGGCUCAACCAUUGUAGGCUUUGGAAACUGUUUAACUUGAGUGCAGAAGGGGAGAGUGGAAUUCCAUGUGGAGCGGUGAAAUGCGUAGAUAUAUGGAGGAACACCGGUGGCGAAAGCGGCUCUCUGGUCUGUAACUGACGCGGAGGCUCGAAAGCGUGGGGAGCGAACAGG